CCGUAUGGGCUUUCGUCGUUUGUUGCAUGAUGGGCUGUGAGUUUGGUUCAUCUGAAACGACAGCGCCGCGUGAUGUCUGAACUCCCUUCCUCCAUCUGAAACUACCCGAUCUGUGUAUUCUUAUCGCCAAGUAUUUCUUAUUUGUCUGUUAUGAAUCUCAUAAAACUUUCCCUUCAUCUCUACAAUCAGUGAGCUCGAUGUGGUUUAUGACUACGGGACAAGCUAUUGACGGGAACAAGAGGAUGAAUCAGACUUUUGGGUUUGUUGGAGUCUGAUCGACGAUGUGUUAGAUCGAAUAAAUGAUAUUAUUUCCUCCAUGGAUGUGUCUGAUGAACCCAAGCCGUGUCCUUUUGUUCGGGAAGGCACCCAAAGUCUCGACUAUCCCUUGAAAGUUUGUGUGUUCUCAGGAAAUGCUCCAGAUGAUGAUAUAGACAUGUGAAACCAGUCAAAGGCUUCUCAGUUGGAUUGAAACCACCAUGGAUACGCAUCUCUCUGAUCUGAUGGGUCCAUGGGAAAACAUCUCUGGCUAUGCAAUGGAUCCCAAAGAUUCUAUUCCGCCUUUUAGUAAGCUCACCUGCCUUAAGAAAUCCCAAGUAUCUCUUAAACUUUUCUUCAGCAUGUGAUGAUAAGAGAACUCUUAUUCCCAAUGUUCUUGGUAAAUAAAACUCCUAACCCUUCCUGUUCAGAUCACAUCUUCCCUUUGAUGCCUUCCUGGAUGCAGCUUAUGAUUAUCAAAGUGUUUCCAUAGGCUUUAUCUAGAUGAAUCUGAUUUAAGAGUUCUCCUAAUCCCUGGAUACUUCUAUAAUCCUAAUGCUCACUUGGAAGUUUUAGUUUUGUACAGGUAAAAAGAGUUCUUCACAUUGUGGAGUUUUGUGGUAAAAGUCAACAGGGCAUUUAAGUUGGAUGUAGGACCUGAAUGGAGAGAAGGAAAAUAAAAGAUUCUCUUUAAUGGCUGGACCGGUAAUGCCCUGUUGUGAGAACUUUGAUUCAUCUAUCUGAAUUGAAGGCGGGACAGUGCAGGCAGAGUGUUGAGGCAAGGCUUUUGCGUUUCUGGGAAUCCUGAAAUGUUAAGAAAGGUGGUGAGCUCAUGGGCUUUGAUAUGCUUUUGGUUGACCUUAUUAUCUUAACUGCGUCGUUAAUGCAACCAUCCAUCAACGCCUUAACACCUUCAAAAACCUCGAUUCAAACGAAGCUGAGAACUUGACUAUAACAUUAGCAUCAAUUGUGAUUUACAAACAAAGUAUGGUUUUCGGAUUAUGGAGAAUUGGCUUUUGGUACCCAAAGUUUUCUACUUUGUUAAUAAUACAGAAUGAAAGCUUAUGGAUUGUACUUUUUGACUUGCAAGAGGUCAAAGUUGGUGUCGGAACUGAGUAACCGAUUGUUUGUGUGGGAGUAGGAAGUCGUUAGUUAGUGUGAGACUCUGGUAUUGAAGGUUUGAUCUUGCGGUGUUGCUUAUGGUUGCAGCUUCUGCUUAUUUACAUUGUGGCAAAAAAUGACGUUUUAUGAUGAACAUAUGACCAUUUAGUUCUGUCUA
Raphanus sativus (radish) is the source of this 1534-nucleotide long non-coding RNA. RefSeq lists it as uncharacterized. The record is from RefSeq and is a predicted model, not a curated record. NCBI's taxonomy places the organism in Eukaryota, Viridiplantae, Streptophyta, Magnoliopsida, Brassicales, Brassicaceae. The transcript is spliced from 4 exons.